Sus scrofa (pig) is the source of this 73-nucleotide transfer RNA. It matches the Rfam family "tRNA". From Rfam's summary of the family: Transfer RNA (tRNA) molecules are approximately 80 nucleotides in length. Their secondary structure includes four short double-helical elements and three loops (D, anti-codon, and T loops). Lineage: Eukaryota; Metazoa; Chordata; Mammalia; Artiodactyla; Suidae. The record is from Rfam.
ACCUGUGUAGCUCAGUCAGGAGAGCAUAAGACUUUGAAUCUGAGGGUCCAGGGUUCAAGUCCCUGUCGAGAUG